UGGAGGAGGUGCAAGCUCGCAAGGGUC
This 27-nucleotide non-coding RNA is filed under the name Homo sapiens (human). Lineage: Eukaryota; Metazoa; Chordata; Mammalia; Primates; Hominidae. The record is from RNAcentral.